GGCUGCCACACCUUGCCCACCGGGGUCCUCCGCCACUCCUCAGCUGCCUCCUCUCGCUCUCCACCCAGCCGCCUACUCCCUCUCGCCCAGCGCAGACGGCCUCCUAGCCGCCACAGCCGCCGCCUCUUUCUCUUCCUCUUCCUCUCCCUCAGCGUAGCCCCUCCACCUCCCUCCUCCGUCGACGGCGCCUGGUUCAGAUCGGGCUCAGGUCGUCUCCGCUGGGUGGACAACGGGAAGCGGUGCGUCUCCUCCACCCUCUGGCUGCCACCGUCGACGGCCAGUCUUCACGGUUGGGCUGGAGGAGCAGGGGCAAGGGAGGCCUGCAGUGGGGGAAGGAGCAGCAAGGCCAGAGCCGAGGAGAAGCCGGCGGCGGCCGCAGUGCUCCCGUCUCGGUGAGCAGGCCAGCCCUGGUUCGUGAACGAGCCCAACCGUUCUUCCCUCCAGUCCGUGCUCGGUUCGUCUUCCCGUCCCCUUUCACCUUCGGACUCUUGUGGUAGCGCCCAACUCCUCUGAUGUGUGCUGAGGAACACCAGCUCGGAAUUUUUUCUUUCACGCUGCUGUCUAAAGCACCAGCUCGGUAUCUGCAGUGGGGAUGCAGUGGAGGACCGGUUUUUCAGAGAAAGAGAGAGAGAGAGAGAUGUAUGCAAAUCCAAGAAAAAGAGGAGAGUGGAGGUUGCCAAGGAAAAACGUGGAUCGAGUUUGUCGAGCAGGGAAUGGAGUUGAUUUGAUAUUAUCUUUUGCGCGCUCGAUUAAUGGCACUUGCAAGCUGAAAAGAAAAUAUCAUAAAGAGCCUUCUAAUUUUUGUCAUUAUUUCUCCUAAUAUAUUAACAGGUGUUUAGAUGACCACAUAGGAAAGAAUCAAUUGGUGAGAGGCUUAAUAAUAUAGUUAUAGCGCGUCAUACAUUUAUUUCCAGAAUUGGGAUAUGGAGCCUUAGGCUAACGCGCGUUGGCCACUCUGACCGUUGCGACUCAAAUGGACAGGUUCCAUAAAUAAUUGACAGACCUCAUGUAUUGGUGGUUAGUAAACCAAUUACUUAGAUUGACAGAUAAUUGAACAUCUUCAACAUCUAUCUCUUGGUUGUGUGUAUGUGUCUCUUAUGCCUCAUAUCAUUGUUGAGAAAAUAUUUUGAAUUUGCCCUUUGACGUCCCCUUUCAGUUUAUCAUAGCAUCAUUGUAGUUUAGUUUCAAAUGAAAUAAAUUGGCAUUUCGUUGUGACCAUGUGUUUCUGUUCUGUUUUUUAGUUUGUCAUGCGGCUGUUGAUUACAUAUGGUGAUACUGGUGCAAAGGGUGCCCUAAAAGAUGAUCAUGUUCUUGCAUCAGCGAAAUGUCAGGUUUCCACGAAAUACGGUUUCCACGAAAUACCCAACAAAUGCACUCGUCCAUCGUCCUGCUCUCAUUAGCUAUAUCAUUUCGAUGAAGAUUAAGAACCCUGCACAGCUAGAUGCUGCUCUGUCGUUUCUUACUAAUACAGUUUUAAGAAGCCUAUGGUGUAGUGAUCAGUUGGGAUCAUUUUCCCAAUAGCACCCAGUUAGAUCGUGUUUGGGGUGACCUCUCCUGACCUCCUCCCAGGUUCCCGGUCUGGAGUGGGAGGGGCGGAAGCCGGAGAGGCCAACCUCCCCUUCAGACGCAGGUUCUCUCCCUCUCCCCUCUGUGCCCUCUCUCUCUUCCCUGACCCUCUCGGUGGCCAGAGGUUUGGUUUUGGUUUUGCUCCUAGGAGAAGGAGGUUUGGUUUCGGUCCUACUCUACAUUCACUGCUGUUACCUGCACUUUGCUACUCAUGGAUGCUUUUUGUUUAUUUUUUAUGCAUGUGUGCUGUCGGUGACAGGAGAGCAAGUCCCUCAAGUUCAUGAGGAAUCCACUCUCAAUUUGUUAACACAGGGGUUCUCAACAGGAGAAGCACUCAAUAGGAGAAGCAGGAGCAGCCGAGCGUUCGCCUUCUCUCCCAGUCCCCUACUCACAGAGCUUCUCAUUUUGUUUUUGUAGAUUUGGUUUCUCUAUGUCUACAGGUUGUUUGAUGAAAAUCCAAAAAGGCUGACAUGAGAUAAUUAAUCUAUGCAAGUCAUGUGAUUUUAUUUUUCUAUAAUUUAGUUCCAGUCAGAGAUAACAAGUUGAGUAGUCCCAUUAUUUUUUUGCAAUUUAGGUAUUGAAGGAGAUCAGGAUGCUUUUAUUUGUAUUUACAUCAUGGGCUUUAUUAUAGAACAACCACAAUGGAGAAAAUUAUCGCAUAUCUUUUGGAUGUUUUGGAUUAAUUGGCUAUUACACAUGUUGGAAUGAAUUAGCAAGUACAGAAAUGAAUAACUGCAGCUCCUUCCCGAUUAGGUCGGGUUAAAUGCUUCCCGAAUACAAAUGGUCUCAGGAAAAAGGCAAAUAUGCAAUAAUUUUGUGUUUUUUCAAAGUAAGUAGAGUGGGUUACUACUAAACCAGAGGACAGGUAGUCGUGUCUUACUUCUGUAAAUAGAAAUCCAAUUGUCUCUUAUUAUGUGUAGGCAUAAAGUUGGAUUUUGGAUGCUUUGCAAGGCCUUCCUAUGUUGUUUUCCUAUUUAUUUUAUUUAUUGUGCUUCCCUUUUUUGGGCUACAAUGUACUGGGAGGUGAGGAAAUGAAAUUGAACUAUGUGUUUUCUUUUCAGGUAUAUUUGAAGUUAACGAGUUUCCAAUUCCUUGUUGUUGUUAAUGAUAUGAAAGUGCAACCGUGGUUUUUGCUCCCAGCUGAUGCAUACUACUUUGCUUGCAGCUAUCAUCAGCCAUUGUUGUUGGUACUGUCCCUUUUUGAGAACCAAAGAAAUACUGAGUUUUAGCUCAGAUGUGUGUUAGGUGAUGUUGCAUGCCAUUUUUGUUCAUCGGUCUGGCAUGAUUUGGAUUGGAUCACCUGCGGAGGCAGGUUUCAUCACCUCGGACAGAGGGAGUAUAUGAUGUAUAUGAUGUAUAUUAUCAUGUCAUUAGUGCAUUUUAUUGUGCCACCUACGUAUAUAGCUACUUGAAUCUUCUAAUUGCAAACUCAAACAUUUGCAUUU
This is a long non-coding RNA of Triticum dicoccoides, 3011 nucleotides long. RefSeq lists it as uncharacterized. The transcript has 7 exons. The record is from RefSeq and is a predicted model, not a curated record. Lineage: Eukaryota; Viridiplantae; Streptophyta; Magnoliopsida; Poales; Poaceae.